This 65-nucleotide transfer RNA is filed under the name Myadora brevis. RNAcentral describes it as "tRNA-Lys". The record is from RNAcentral. Lineage: Eukaryota; Metazoa; Mollusca; Bivalvia; Myochamidae.
GAUCAGAUGUCCGAUUUAGGUGUUGGGCUUUUAACCUAAUUAUGGUGGGAUACUGCCUCUGAUUA